CCUACGGGUGGCAGCAGUGAGGAAUAUUGGUCAAUGGGCGCGAGCCUGAACCAGCCAAGUCGCGUGAAGGAUGACUGCCCUACGGGUUGUAAACUUCUUUUGUCAAGGAAUAAAGUGAGGCACGUGUGCCUUUUUGUAUGUACCUUAUGAAUAAGGAUCGGCUAACUCCGUGCCAGCAGCCGCGGUAAUACGGAGGAUCCGAGCGUUAUCCGGAUUUAUUGGGUUUAAAGGGAGCGUAGAUGGGUUGUUAAGUCAGUUGUGAAAGUUUGCGGCUCAACCGUAAAAUUGCAGUUGAUACUGGCAGCCUUGAGUACAGUUGAGGUAGGCGGAAUGCGUGGUGUAGCGGUGAAAUGCUUAGAUAUCACGAAGAACUCCGAUUGCGAAGGCAGCUUACUAAACUGCCACUGACAUUGAUGCUCGAAAGUGUGGGUAUCAAACAGGAUUAGAUACCCGUGUAGUC
Molecule: ribosomal RNA, 460 nt
Filed under: uncultured bacterium
Lineage: Bacteria
Description: partial 16S ribosomal RNA
Rfam family: Bacterial small subunit ribosomal RNA
Source: RNAcentral